UUAGUUAAGUGAAUAAGGGCGCACGGUGGAUGCCUUGGCACUAGGAGCCGAUGAAGGACGGGACUAACACCGAUAUGCCUCGGGGAGUUGUAAGUAAACAUAGAUCCGGGGAUUUCCGAAUGGGGAAACCCACUGUUCGUAAUGGAACAGGACUUAUGUCUGAAUACAUAGGGCAUAAGAGGCACACCCAGGGAACUGAAACAUCUCAGUACCUGGAGGAAGAGAAAGCAAAUGCGAUUUCCCAAGUAGCGGCGAGCGAAACGGAAACAGCCCAAACCAGAGAGCUUGCUCUCUGGGGUUGUAGGACACUCCACAAGGAGUUACAAAGAAAUUCUUUAGAUGAAUCAACCUGGAAAGGUUAGCCGAAGAGGGUAACAGCCCUGUAAUCGAAAAAGAAUUUCCUCCGGAGUGGAUCCUGAGUACGGCGGAACACGUGGAAUUCCGUCGGAAUCCGGGAGGACCAUCUCCCAAGGCUAAAUACUCCCUAGUGACCGAUAGUGAACCAGUACCGUGAGGGAAAGGUGAAAAGCACCCCGGGAGGGGAGUGAAAGAGUACCUGAAACCGUGUGCCUACAAGUAGUCGAAGCGCGUUUAUGCGUAACGGCGUACCUUUUGUAGAAUGGACCGGCGAGUUACGAUUGUAUGCAAGGUUAAGUGGAAGACACGGAGCCGUAGCGAAAGCGAGUCUGAAUAGGGCGAUUUAGUAUGCGGUCGUAGACCCGAAACCGUGUGAUCUACCCAUGUCCAGGGUGAAGGUCAGGUAACACUGACUGGAGGCCCGAACCCACGUAUGUUGAAAAAUGCGGGGAUG
Molecule: ribosomal RNA, 811 nt
Filed under: Bacilli bacterium
Lineage: Bacteria; Bacillati; Bacillota; Bacilli
Description: bacterial LSU rRNA
Rfam family: Bacterial large subunit ribosomal RNA
Source: RNAcentral